ACGAUAUCUCCUCAAAUCAACAUUCUUCACGUGCUCUCUCUCCCUGUAGCUUUCUGGUUCUGUUUUGCUUUGCUUUCCAUUGCUGCUCUAUCAGCCUUCUUUAGUCUAUCUGUUUCUUUUUUUAUCCACUGCAAGCCUCCUUUUUGUUUGGUUUUUUUUAGGGCCGUUUCUGUUAAGAUCUAUCAAAGUAGUUUUGUUCGUUGGUUGACAAAGAAAGCUUUUAAGAAAAACAAAACAAAAAAAAAGUUUUACUUUUCUGGUAUGGAAAACAAAAGGCAAGUGAGUGGUUCUUCUUCUUCUUCAUCAUCAUCAUCAUCUGUUUCUUUGGAUCAUCUCUUUGGUCCCAAGGACUCUUCUUCUUCUUCUUCAUCCACAAGUGGGAUUUUUGACACCAUUUUCCCUCCUCCAUCAACGGUGCUAGGGAGGGACUCCAGUCACUCUGGAAUGAUGGGGUCAUGGAAUAAUCAGGGUUUGCCCCAUCAUGGCAAAUAUGGAAAUCCAGAUCACACCACUGAUAGCAAGGGACAAAGCAGUGGCACAACUAACAAAGACAAGAGUUCGUCCGUUUAUCAUAAUGAAACAGUGGAACCUUGCAAUCUCAGCUCAUCUAUCUAUUAUGGAGGCCAAGAAAAUUAUUCUCCAAGGAAGAAGACCACUGAGUCUCCCCAUUAUUUCAAGAAGGAUGGGGGAGAUGAUGAUCCCAAUGGAAACAAUUCUGGUGGUGCUUCAAGAGGGAAUUGGUGGCAGGGUAUGAAAGCUGUGGAUUUUUGUUGAUAAACAAAAUACUCUUCACUGUCCAUAAAAAUUAUAGUAUUGAACAAUCUUUAAUCAAUUUAUUCUUUGUUUGUACAGGCUCACUUUAUUACUAACAUCUUAAUCCAAAAUAAUGCAAACUUUCCAUCCCAAUACUUUAAGGAACACUAGCAGCAUAAUUAAUCGUAUUAUUACUAUGGAAAUAAGCUGGUAGAUAGCUAGCAAUACAGUAGAAGCAUAUAGAGCAUAACACAGCUUAGGAAUUUGAGGAAGAGUGUUGACCCUGUAAGCUGUUAUAUGUAGGGCAGACAGCUCGGAGCACGCCGGAAUCAUGUAUUAUAUGUUUAUCUACUUUUCUUUUGCCUGACUAAUCUAAUCUUCUUGUUCUGAACUAUGCUCUGUGGGAUUUUUCCCACAAGAAAAUGGAUUACUAUAACUAUAUAUUGACAUAUAUAGCAUACCCUUCUCUCAUCUUGAUUUCACUUUCAAGAUUGGAUGCAUUUUAGCAUCUUAUAUACAAUGAAUGAUCACAAAGAGAAGUUAUAUGUUGCCAACAGUCACGUGAUCUGUAGUUCCAGUGACUGGAUUCAAAUUCUGGUUUCCAUAUUCUGGUUUAUUUUACAGGAAUCAUGCAAGAUAAGGGUUUCAAGAAUUCCAUUUAUUGAGGAGAGGUUUUUGAGCAUUGAGCAGUAAGAAAAUACUUGAAGUUAUCGAAAGAUUACUGAACACAAUCUUUUAUGUAUCAUUCAA
Durio zibethinus is the source of this 1503-nucleotide non-coding RNA. The record is from RefSeq and is a predicted model, not a curated record. NCBI's taxonomy places the organism in Eukaryota, Viridiplantae, Streptophyta, Magnoliopsida, Malvales, Malvaceae.